UUUCAGAAUGUCGAUGCACCAUUCAACCAGGGAAAAAUUAUCUAUAAUUUUGGGAGGUUAACUUCGGUCACAAAAAAACUUGAUACGGACAACUUAAGCAACGGGGAAAAAAAGGUAUU
This is a long non-coding RNA of Cydia splendana, 119 nucleotides long. RefSeq lists it as uncharacterized. The transcript has 3 exons. NCBI's taxonomy places the organism in Eukaryota, Metazoa, Arthropoda, Insecta, Lepidoptera, Tortricidae. The record is from RefSeq and is a predicted model, not a curated record.